This 521-nucleotide ribosomal RNA is filed under the name Bacteroides sp. CJ44. Its description in RNAcentral is "bacterial SSU rRNA". It matches the Rfam family "Bacterial small subunit ribosomal RNA", at positions 8 to 521 of the family's 1533-position model. Lineage: Bacteria; Pseudomonadati; Bacteroidota; Bacteroidia; Bacteroidales; Bacteroidaceae. The record is from RNAcentral.
AGAGUUUGAUCCUGGCUCAGGAUGAACGCUAGCGGCAGGCUUAACACAUGCAAGUCGAGGGGCAGCAUUCGGGUAGCAAUACCUGAGAUGGCGACCGGCGCACGGGUGCGUAACGCGUAUGCAACCUACCCAUAACAGGGGCAUAACACUGAGAAAUCGGUACUAAUUCCCCAUAACAUUCGAAGAGGCAUCUUUUCGGGUUGAAAACUCCGGUGGUUAUGGAUGGGCAUGCGUUGUAUUAGCUGGUUGGUGAGGUAACGGCUCACCAAGGCGACGAUACAUAGGGGGACUGAGAGGUUAACCCCCCACAUUGGUACUGAGACACGGACCAAACUCCUACGGGAGGCAGCAGUGAGGAAUAUUGGUCAAUGGACGCAAGUCUGAACCAGCCAUGCCGCGUGCAGGAAGACGGCUCUAUGAGUUGUAAACUGCUUUUGUACGAGGGUAAACUCAGAUACGUGUAUCUGACUGAAAGUAUCGUACGAAUAAGGAUCGGCUAACUCCGUGCCAGCAGCCGCGGU